Molecule: long non-coding RNA, 224 nt
Organism: Thunnus maccoyii (southern bluefin tuna)
Lineage: Eukaryota; Metazoa; Chordata; Actinopteri; Scombriformes; Scombridae
Exons: 4
Source: RefSeq, a predicted model, not a curated record
AAAAAAAAAAAAAAAAAAAAAGGCUUCUUGUGUGAGGCUGCUCUUGCUCUCACUGUUAUCCUUUGGGCAGCAUGCAAAGGAACUCAGCUACAGAGGCUCAAGUGGCAUUAAACCUUACUUUGAACUGGCUGAGGAUUUCCCAAGAAGCUACAAACCCCAGCCGCAGCGGUCUCCGAGCUACCCGGCCAAGCCCCAGCCCCAGAGCAUAACGGUAGGGCGGGUCU